UUAUUAUUAUUAUUAUUAUUGUGGCACAAAACUCUUGUGCACCUUGUUAUGGUUCUUUCAAAUGUUUUUUCAUAAGGCUGUUUAUUUUCAUGUUAUGUGAUCAAGAAAUUUAAGACUCACUCUGCAAUUAUACUAAAUGACUAACUAGUGGAUUGUAGUAAGGAUAUCACCUCCGUUCUUGACUAUAACGUCUUAGAUUACUCAUGCUUCUUGAAUACUAUAUUUUAUGAUCUACUAAUAAAUUUUCAUAGAUUCCCGUGGUAUUAAUUGAUUAUUGAAAUUUCCGCUGAUUCAAGUCAGGCUAUACACUGGAAUUCAUGCUAAAUCAAAACCUAAAUUCAAGUCAGGAGCUAUUUCUGAGUCAACUACGGCUUUGAAUUUUGAU
This 385-nucleotide unclassified non-coding RNA is filed under the name Hevea brasiliensis (rubber tree). Lineage: Eukaryota; Viridiplantae; Streptophyta; Magnoliopsida; Malpighiales; Euphorbiaceae. The record is from RNAcentral.